GCCAGGGAUGGUGAAACAUGCCUAUAGUCCCAGUUACUCAGGAGGUUGAGGCAGGAGGAUUGCUUGAGUCCAGGAACUGGAGGCCAGUCUGGGCAACACAGCAAGAUUCCGUCUUCA
This 117-nucleotide small RNA is filed under the name Marmota monax (woodchuck). The record is from RNAcentral. Lineage: Eukaryota; Metazoa; Chordata; Mammalia; Rodentia; Sciuridae.